GAUGAACGCUGGCGGCGUGCCUAAUACAUGCAAGUCGAGCGAACGGACGAGAAGCUUGCUUCUCUGAUGUUAGCGGCGGUCGGGUGAGUAACACGUGGAUAACCUACCUAUAAGACUGGGAUAACUUCGGGAAACCGGAGCUAAUACCGGAUGAUAUUUUGAACCGCAUGGUUCAAAAGUGAAAGACGGUCUUGCUGUCACUUAUAGAUGUAUCCGCGCUGCAUUAGCUAGUUGGUAAGGUAACGGCUUACCAAGGCAACGAUGCAUAGCCGACCUGAGAGGGUGAUCGGCCACACUGGAACUGAGACACGGUCCAGACUCCUACGGGAGGCAGCAGUAGGGAAUCUUCCGCAAUGGGCGAAAGCCUGACGGAGCAACGCCGCGUGAGUGAUGAAGGUCUUCGGAUCGUAAAACUCUGUUAUUAGGGAAGAACAUAUGUGUAAGUAACUGUGCACAUCUUGACGGUACCUAAUCAGAAAGCCACGGCUAACUACGUG
This 497-nucleotide ribosomal RNA is filed under the name uncultured bacterium. RNAcentral's name for it is "partial 16S ribosomal RNA". It matches the Rfam family "Bacterial small subunit ribosomal RNA", at positions 28 to 507 of the family's 1533-position model. The record is from RNAcentral.